This is a long non-coding RNA of Mytilus trossulus (common blue mussel), 789 nucleotides long. RefSeq lists it as uncharacterized. The record is from RefSeq and is a predicted model, not a curated record. The transcript is spliced from 4 exons. Lineage: Eukaryota; Metazoa; Mollusca; Bivalvia; Mytilida; Mytilidae.
AAUACGAAACUACGUACUAUUUUUAGGUACACAACUUCCGGAAAGAAGAAAAUGUGCUGAUCUUUGAUCACGAACCUGUAAACAGUGGGAAAAAAUCUAAUUUAUAGACAAUCGGUGUAUACGAUCUGUAUGUCAACCCAGUAAAACCAAAGACACAAAAAGGAAAGAGGAAACAGUCUUCAACCUCAUCAAAUAAACAAACCAAGAAACGAAAAUCAAGAAAAUCCAGUUCCUCAGACUCUGAUAUCACUGACAAUCAACCACAAGGGUCAGGUCAAAUAAGUCAAAGGAAAACAAGACAGAGACAAAUUAAAUUUUUGGGCCGAAGCAUUAAACAUGAAUGGAUAAUUGAUGAAACUUCACAACAAAAAGAAUGGUAUAAAGGGACUGUAGUAUCUUUGAUAUCUGGAACUGAUGGAAGAUUAACUGCCAUUUACGAAGUGUUGUAUGAGGGAGAGGAUGAACCAUUUGAAAUUGACCAUUUAAUACAGGAUUAUCAAUAUGGAUCAGUGCAGUUCAUUGAUGUGUAACAGUUUUAUAAGAAAAAAGGAUUUUUGUGACUUAGGAGAUUACUGGAUUUUUUAUAAGAUGGACUUACUUGUAUACAUAAUUUUUGACUUAUGAACAUAUAUUGUUGUUUAGAAUUGUUUAAUUUGAAUAGUGCUCAUCACAAGGAAGAUUUUGAUAUAUAAUAUGGUAUGUUUUAUCCAGUAUAUAGUCUGAUAUUAAAGUUUAAAGUUGAACAUGAUUUUGACUUAAGCGGAACCUUAAACCAGCCCUCGGCUCUGU